GGGCUGUUAGCUCAGUGGAAGAGUGCACCCCUGAUAAGGGUGAGGUCCCCGGUUCAAUACCAGGACGGCCCA
Molecule: transfer RNA, 72 nt
Filed under: Nephromyces sp. ex Molgula occidentalis
Lineage: Eukaryota; Apicomplexa; Aconoidasida; Nephromycida
Description: tRNA-Ile
Rfam family: tRNA
About the family: Transfer RNA (tRNA) molecules are approximately 80 nucleotides in length. Their secondary structure includes four short double-helical elements and three loops (D, anti-codon, and T loops).
Source: RNAcentral